Molecule: long non-coding RNA, 209 nt
Filed under: Lathyrus oleraceus (garden pea)
Lineage: Eukaryota; Viridiplantae; Streptophyta; Magnoliopsida; Fabales; Fabaceae
Description: Pisum sativum (pea) long non-coding RNA (PSAT_LNC032766)
Source: RNAcentral
UAGCACACAACUAUGCCUCAUACGUACUUUAAGGUUAUGAAAAAAAUUGGUUAAUUUCAUUGAUAGAUAAAAAGCAAUAGUAAAAAUACAAUUACUUGAUGUCUUAUUUACUUAAAUUUCUGUUGACUUUCUUUAUGAUGGCAUGUUUAAGAAAUGAAGAACUCAAGCUGAUAAACCUUAAACCUUAUUCCUACAACAAUAAAAUAAAU